Molecule: ribosomal RNA, 497 nt
Filed under: uncultured bacterium
Lineage: Bacteria
Description: partial 16S ribosomal RNA
Rfam family: Bacterial small subunit ribosomal RNA
Source: RNAcentral
GAUGAACGCUGGCGGCGUGCCUAAUACAUGCAAGUCGAGCGAACGGACGAGAAGCUUGCUUCUCUGAUGUUAGCGGCGGACGGGUGAGUAACACGUGGAUAACCUACCUAUAAGACUGGGAUAACUUCGGGAAACCGGAGCUAAUACCGGAUAAUAUUUUGAACCGCAUGGUUCAAAAGUGAAAGACGGUCUUGCUGUCACUUAUAGAUGGAUCCGCGCUGCAUUAGCUAGUUGGUAAGGUAACGGCUUACCAAGGCAACGAUGCAUAGCCGACCUGAGAGGGUGAUCGGCCACACUGGAACUGAGGCACGGUCCAGACUCCUACGGGAGGCAGCAGUAGGGAAUCUUCCGCAAUGGGCGAAAGCCUGACGGAGCAACGCCGCGUGAGUGAUGAAGGUCUUCGGAUCGUAAAACUCUGUUAUUAGGGAAGAACAUAUGUGUAAGUAACUGUGCACAUCUUGACGAUACCUAAUCAGAAAGCCACGGCUAACUACGUG